UACGAAGGGGGCUAGCGUUGUUCGGAUUUACUGGGCGUAAAGCGCACGUAGGCGGAUUGGUCAGUUAGGGGUGAAAUCCCAGAGCUCAACUCUGGAACUGCCUUUAAUACUGCCAGUCUCGAGUCCGGAAGAGGUAAGUGGAACUCCUAGUGUAGAGGUGGAAUUCGUAGAUAUUAGGAAGAACACCAGUGGCGAAGGCGGCUUACUGGUCCGGUACUGACGCUGAGGUGCGAAAGCGUGGGGAGCAAAC
This 250-nucleotide ribosomal RNA is filed under the name uncultured bacterium. RNAcentral describes it as "partial 16S ribosomal RNA". It matches the Rfam family "Bacterial small subunit ribosomal RNA", at positions 524 to 773 of the family's 1533-position model. The record is from RNAcentral.